RNAcentral lists this ribosomal RNA (432 nucleotides) under uncultured bacterium. RNAcentral describes it as "partial 16S ribosomal RNA". It matches the Rfam family "Bacterial small subunit ribosomal RNA", at positions 29 to 507 of the family's 1533-position model. The record is from RNAcentral.
AACGAACGCUGGCGGCAUGCCUAACACAUGCAAGUCGAACGAGACCUUCGGGUCUAGUGGCGCAGGUGUACGUAACACUUGGGAACUUGCCCUUAAGUUCGCUAUAACUCACCGGAAGGGAUGCUAAUACCGGAUAAUGUCUUCGGACAAAGCGUUAUCGGCUUUGUAAGGGGCCUCGUCAGAUUAGCCAGUUGGGAGGGUAAAAGCCUAACAAGGCGACGAAGCAUAGCAUGACGGGGAAGAUGAUCAUUCAAAAUGGGACUGAGACACGGCCCACAAUCAGACGGGAGGGAGCAGUGGGGAAUAUUGGAAAAUGGGCGAGAGUCUGAUCCAGCAGUGACGCGUGGGUCAUGAAGGUCUUAGUGUUGUAAAGUCCUUUUACCCGGGAUGAUAAUGACAGUAACGGGAGAAGAAGCACCGGCUAACUCCGUG